Molecule: long non-coding RNA, 1034 nt
Organism: Erpetoichthys calabaricus (reedfish)
Lineage: Eukaryota; Metazoa; Chordata; Cladistia; Polypteriformes; Polypteridae
Exons: 2
Source: RefSeq, a predicted model, not a curated record
GUGCUCUUCAAACAGAUAAAAGCAUUUAUCAUCUAGUUAAUUUUUUACAUAUCAAGGAACAAAGGUCCUCAACCUGAAGCCUGAAGUUAGAGAUCACUCUGAAUAUUUUUUGUUUAAAAGAGCCAGAUGAUGAAAACACUGAUUUAACUGAUUAAAGGAAAGCAAAUCGUACCAGAAUGAAUUUGAUUUUUCUUAUAGUUUGGUGGUCUGAUCAUGUGGAUUUGUACAGUUGCAGUGAUUAACGGUUGUGUCCCUAGUGACAUUACUUCACUAAGCUGAACCUGCUUCUUCCUGCCCUCUGAAGUGAAAACCAGCUCUGACACUAUCAUGAAAGAAGAACAUCUCAUGACUUUACAACUCAUUCAUUUUGAUUUUGUAUUUGAUUUACAAAUUUAACUGGCCUAAACUUUUAUUUGUAUUUCUUUCUCAUUAUUACACCCACUUUAUUCACAUCAUAAAAUUGCAUUUUCUUUUUCAAUGCAGUUUUUCAUUUAAUUUUCAAUGGAAACUUCAUACUUUUACCAUUUAGAUCUCUUAUUCUACAUGGUCAUAUGUUUUAAGUUUUUACACAAAAUUAAUUAUAAAUAAUUACAUCUUAUUGUUACAAUUCAAUAUUCCUUUUUAUAGGAGUUCAAAAGUGUUGGUCCAAUCAUGCCAAUAUAUAAGCUUUCUUUCUUUCUUUCUUUCUUGUCUACAUAAUAAGAUGGACUAAUUUAGUAUUGGCAUAUUUUAUUUCUAGAAUAAGCUAUGAUGAAUAUGAAAUAAACACUUUUCAGAUUAAGAAAAACCUUCAAACCUACAGAAUACAGCAUACAUUCAUGGGAUCUUUAUUAAAUUAUUUAUUGAAGUAGGUAUGAAGUCUGUAAUUUAAUUAAUUAGUGCAUCUAAACUUUAUUGUACUUAAAACUAGAAAAUUAUUUAAUAGCUCACUGAUUAGAAGCACAUGCUGUGAAUGAUCAACCAGUCAGAUGACAUUUAAAACCAGAUGAAUUGUUUCUAUAAAUAAAUUCUAAACAAUUUCCUUCUUGGCACUA